Molecule: long non-coding RNA, 1024 nt
Organism: Panicum virgatum (switchgrass)
Lineage: Eukaryota; Viridiplantae; Streptophyta; Magnoliopsida; Poales; Poaceae
Exons: 5
Source: RefSeq, a predicted model, not a curated record
CCGCUCCACCUCGCCUCGCCUUCCUUGAUUUGGCAGCCGUCUCGCCUCCGAGCAGAUAAGAUUCCCAAUCCCCAUGGCGGCGGCGAAGGAGGAGUUCACGACGCGUGCGUGGGACCGGCGGCGGCGGAUGCAUCGUCUCCAGGCAGUCCCGGUGCUCCCCCUCGUGAGGGCAUCGCGGCUGCCGUCGAUCCUGGAGGAGCAGCCCGCCGCUCCUGCUCCAAUUCCCGCCCCAGUCCUCCCGGCUUCCAGGGUCGCGGAGAGGGACGGCGCCGCCAGCCUGGACACCCCGCUCGCCUACGCGGAGAGCUGCGGGGACGACGCGUGAAUGGAAGAGGAAGACACCAAGAAGCUGACGUCGCACGACCAGGUGCCAAAGAAGUUCCUAGUGGCAAACAGCAUGAAAGACCCUAUGAGGUAGAAAUUCUGCUAUACCAAUGCAUCGAUUGGACUUCAGUUUUUUAUUACAGCUUGGUCAGACUCGGAUUUCUUGCCUACUGCAGCCAAGAGCGUUGCUGCGUUGCAGUUUGUGGCAACUACAAGCACCAAUAUGCUGACGAAUGACAUGAGAAAUGCAAUGGGCAUCAGGAAGAUGAAGACCUAAGGUUUAGAUCAAGGAACAAGUAGGGAGGAAGCACAACUACAGCUGGACAUCAAUGCCAAGUUUUGAGAAGGAAAGGGCUUAGAAGUGCCUACCGACCCCAUCAGCAGAAGCGUAUUGUCCAGCAUUUGAGAAGAGCUUGCCACUAGUUUCAAUUAAUGUGCUAAUCAUACAAAACAGUUGUGAGCUUGUAACUUUCUCAUACAAAACAGUUGCACUGAGUAUCGAACCUGCAACUAUAUAUACAUGCAUGUGAACAUGUAACUUUAUCUGCUUGUGAACCUGUACUGUUGUGAGCUUUGUGGUUAUCCAACUGUAUAUGUAGUAGCUAACAAUAUUUUUUUAUUUUAUAUAUUCACAUUGGUGACGGGUAAAACUGUAGCACGUCACCAAUAAGAAAGUUAUCAGUGACGUGUAACACCUACA